UCCUUCUCUCAGGUCAUAUUCUCUUCCGCUGCUGUCAUUUAUUUUAUGUAAAUUCUAAAUUUAAAGCUGUUUUAUAAAUAUUUAUGUUAUUAUCUAUUUUUGUGAAAAUAUAUUAUGCUGGUACCGUAUGUGUUCACCGUCGCGUGAGACUUCUGGUGUGUUUCGAUCGGCCUGUGGGUUGGAAACAGGCUGUCAGGUUACACUUAAUUAAGCUAAUGCGCCUGAUGUGUUCAAAUGAUGACCAUUACAUUUAAUUAAGCUGUUUAACUUGGCAGUUCUGUCACAUAAUCCAUGCCAUAUCAUCAUCAGCGCCACCUUAUAGUACGUUGUGAUGUCUAUAGUUGAAGUCAACAAGAAGAACGGUUUCUCAUCAUUGUCAUCACCACUACCAUGAAGCCGAACGAUGCCUCGCCAACGUGCUAUCUCCAACCGAUUACUAAUCCCUCUCUCCAAUUGAGCUUCAUAUAGGGUGGUCUGAUCCUUUUUUUGCUUCGCUUGAGCUUCUCAGGACUCAACUUGCUGUUUCUUUCUUCAUGGAAGUCAUCAUCUGGAUGCAGCGCUAUGACUUUAUCUUCAAAGGGAUCUUCGUGAUUGAGUCGUGGACGGAGAGAGUUGGUCCGACUCGCAUACGGGAUGGACUAAGGCCCACCUGUCAAUGACACAGACGGACCAAAUCAACGUACCAAACCAAAAAUUUUACUCGCUUUAGUAAUAGAUAUAGAUAUAGAUAUAUUUUUAAUUUAUCUAGCUAUUUUUGCUGAUUUGAUCCUCUUUCAUUUUCGUCUUCCGCAUUGAAUGUUUUUUUAAUCUAAAAAUUUCUAGCUUGUGUCCACCCCAUAUUAUCUUGUCCCGUUCUGGCUAAUGUUGUUUGUUUGGCUAAUUGGUCGUUGGAGUUUGGUGAAAUAUUUGUUUGGACCAUUUCCACUAAUAAAACAUUUGUUUGUCGUGAGACAUUUUUCAAUCAUUUCAGUUUGAUACAUGUUGCCAAAGGGUGCUUAGCCUAGCAGUUAAGACACUCGAGCGGCACUCCACAGGUCCUGAGUUCGAAUCCCCGUGGUAGCGAAUUUCAGGCUGUGGUUAAAAAAAUUCUCUCGCCGGUCCCGUGUGACACUGUUCUUAUGUCUUCAUAUGAUGUGCAUCCUUUGACAGUGUUCAGCAGCAUCCGGAGGUAGUACCUUUCUCCACUUGUUGGAUGUGCAUAGUAGAUCCUUCCGAUUGCAUAUCCUUGUUUUCUUUUCUCCCAUUUCUUUUCUUUUGCUUUCCAUACCCAUUUAGUAGGGAAAUCUGCAUAUGUCAACUCUCUUGCUUCUUCAUGUUGUUUAUUUGCCUCCAUCCAUUCAGUGAACUUAGUUUCCUUCACUCCCUCCCUUCUGACUAUGCUUCUUAUAUCAGUAGAGUCUGGGAAGAUAACCUGUUGUUCAUUCUCUAGAUGGAAAUUCAGCCUCUCGACGGGUGGAUCUCGAUAGUUGAGUUCAAACUGGAAUAGCCUCCAGCAUGCCUCGGUUGUUGAUAUGUAUCUCAUCUCUAAGUAUUUCUUGAUCUCGUCAGUUUCGUUUUUUGACGUCUUUUCCUUGAGCAAUCCAACUACAUAGUCAACUCCUUUAUGAAUGUACUUGAAUAGGUAUUUGAUAGAUCUGGACCUAUUGCACCACUCCACAUUAAUGUGAGCUUGGAAUUUGACCAGGAGAUCCCUGUUGUAAGGUACGACAAAUCUGUUGUCUAGUGUAGCUUUUCCCUUUUUGAUUUGUCUCCCGUUGUCUCUCCUCUUGUAUACUGGAAAUCCAUCUUCAUCAAUUGUUGUUUCUGAGUUGAAUUUUUUUGGAAAAUGUUUGCUGCAUUUGUUUUCCACCAUGCAUGGAGAUUUUGUGUUUGCCUCUCCACAUGGUCCAUGCAUCAUGUAAUUUUUGACUGCUUCAUAUGCUUCAGGGUCCUCAUCCUUGUCUGGUAUUUCAGCGCAUAUUAUAUCAUCUAUCUGCGAUGGAUCAUGGCAUUUGCUUUUGUCCUUAAGAAAUAUCAAUAUAUGUGCAUGCGGGAGACCUCUUUUUUAGAACUCUAUUGCGUAUAGCACUGCAUUUGAAUUUAAAAAUUUGUUAGUUUUUUUAACAUUGUAUUGUAUUGAUAAUUUAAAACGUAGUAAUAUAUCAAUGUUGUUUUUUGGAUCUCACCUGAUGUAGUUUCUCUGAAUCUUUUUCCUUGCACUAUGUCCCGUAGUAGCUCCUUUAGUUUAAUCAUGAACACUCGGUCUACAAUAUCGGACCGUUCAGCUGGUUUCUGUUUGCUUCCUGUUUCAUCCAGCAUGUACUGGAUUUCUGGCCACUUUGCGUUGCAUGUGAAUGUUAUAAAUAGGUUUGGGUAUCCUGCCCAAUGGCAGAUGGCCAUCGCAUCUUGGAAGUUUUGCAUCUUGUUUCUUAUACUCCCUGUGAAACUUGAAGGUAGCAGUAUCCUCUUUCCAACAUAUUCUGCUCUGGUGUCACCCCUUUCGAUUGCGUCCUGCAAACCGCUGUAUAGUUCAGUACGUAAUUUCCCUUGAUUGUGCCUUAUCCAGUUUAGAGUGUUCUGCUUGAUGCAUGUGUAAACAUCAACCCAAAAUUGUAGAGAUAAGUGUCCAGACAUCAGCAAUGACAUAGAUUGGUCAGGGCGAUGGUGAAUGUAGUAUGCGUAAAAUUCAAGCAUAGAUAUGUUGUUCCUUUUUUAUGUAAUUCCAUCCUUUUGUUGAUAUGGUAUUUUAAUGUUGAAUCCAUCUUCUCCGUAUGGGAAGAGCAGUGGGUAUUGCAUAGACAUGAAUUUUGGGUGGAUUUCUGAUAUCCGUUUAGGCCCCAUAUCUUUGUACUCAAUAAUUAUGUCACGCCCUUUGGCUUCAUCUGUUGGAUCUUUUAUGACCAGUGCUGCAACCUCAUCUGCUCCUGGCAAACCGUGUGUUCCGUUUCUGUUUCGAUCUGCUAUUAGCUUAAGAGUGUAAUCAUGGUAGUCUUUCACAUCUGAAUUUUGGUUUUCCGAAGUUCCAUAUAUUACUUUCAGCAUCACCCCUUUUCUCUGUUUCGCCAUAUUCUUUGCUACUGUUCUCUUGAUUUGCAUCUUCAUUGCCUGUUCUUGUACGCUUUGGUUUCCUUUUUUCUUUAAGUAUUUCUUUUCUCUUCAGUCUUGCCAGUCUAUAUUUCAUCUUGGUCGUUUCCUCUACAGUGCAUACUCCUUUUUUUUGCCCCUUUUAAGGUUUAGUUGUUCCUUCCUCCUCUUUCUGUUCUGCAAUGCUUCUUCUUUUCUAUGGUUUUCCAUUAGUUUUUGCCUGUGUGAGAUGAAAAAUUAAGGCAACAGGAAAGACACCAUGUAAAUAUUUGCUUGUUAUAGACUUGUAGCAGUUGCCGCUAAGGUAUUGUUAUUAUAUUUUUUAAUAGAGUAUUUCAAUAGAUUGUAAGCAAUGCGCAGUAGCAGCCAUGAAAGAUAAGUUAAUUUUGAGGUAUUUUUAAAUUUAUAUCCAGUAAUUUUAUUAUUUCGACUAACAUAAUUAUGUAUGAUAUGUAUAUGAAGUAUACUACAGGCAUGAAAGAGAAGAGGUUGGCAUGAACUUGCCGGAAGUAUACUCCAGUUUAGUUUUUUGUCUCCCACGAACUGUUGUGGUUCCCGAUGCUUUGUUUAAUGAAUUGUAAUGCUACAAAUCAAUAUACUUGCGUAAGCAGUCAAUAGAGAAUAUAGUUCUUGAUUUUUGGAGCAGAAGAGCAACGAUGGAAAAUACCUGUCUUUUGUCGAAUGUUGAUGGUUGAAUCUAUUUUUUGAGAAGGGCUACGGAAUUAGAUUAGUAUAUGUAAAUAUUGGGAGAAAGCUGCAAUGAGAUUUGAGUUAUAUA
Molecule: long non-coding RNA, 3841 nt
Organism: Panicum virgatum (switchgrass)
Lineage: Eukaryota; Viridiplantae; Streptophyta; Magnoliopsida; Poales; Poaceae
Exons: 2
Source: RefSeq, a predicted model, not a curated record